Molecule: ribosomal RNA, 116 nt
Filed under: Pteropus alecto (black flying fox)
Lineage: Eukaryota; Metazoa; Chordata; Mammalia; Chiroptera; Pteropodidae
Source: RNAcentral
GUCUACAGCCAUGCCACCCUGAACAAGCCCGAUGUCUGAUCUCGGAAGCUAAGCAGGGUCUGGCCUGGUUAGUACUUGGAUGGGAGACUACCUAGGAAGACCAGGUGCUCUAGGCA